AGUGAACGCUGGCGGUAGGCCUAACACAUGCAAGUCGAACGGCAGCACAGUAAGAGCUUGCUCUUACGGGUGGCGAGUGGCGGACGGGUGAGGAAUACUUCGGAAUCUACUUUUUCGUGGGGGCUAACGUAGGGAAACUUACGCUAAUACCGCAUACGACCUACGGGUGAAAGCAGGGGAUCUUCGGACCUUGCGCGAUUGAAUGAGCCGAUGUCGGAUUAGCUAGUUGGCGGGGUAAAGGCCCACCAAGGCGAUGAUCCGUCGCUGGUCGGAGAGGAUGAGCAGCCACACUGGAACUGAGAGAGGGUCCAGACUCAUACGGGAGGCAGCAGUGGGGAAUAGGGAACAAUGGGCGCGAGCCUGAUCCAGCCAGACCGCGUGGGUGAGGAAGGCCGGCGGUUUGUAAAGCCCUUUUGUUGGGAAAGAAAGGCGGCAGGUUAAUACCCCCUCUGUUCGGACGUUACCCAAUGAAUAAGCACCGGCUAACUUCGUG
RNAcentral lists this ribosomal RNA (493 nucleotides) under uncultured bacterium. Its description in RNAcentral is "partial 16S ribosomal RNA". It matches the Rfam family "Bacterial small subunit ribosomal RNA", at positions 29 to 507 of the family's 1533-position model. The record is from RNAcentral.